GUGUCAGCCGCCGCGGUAAGACGAAGGUGGCAAGCGUUGUUCGGAUUCACUGGGCAUAAAGGGCGCGUAGGCGGUUCCGAAAGUGGCAUGUGAAAGCCCCCGGCUCAACCGGGGAAGUGCGUGCCAAACUUCGGUCCUAGAGGGUGGGAGGGGGGACUGGAACUCUCGGUGGAGCGGUGAAAUGCGUAGAUAUCGAGAGGAACACCGGUGGCGAAGGCGAGUCCCUGGUCCACUUCUGACGCUGAGGCGCGAAAGCGUGGGUAGCAAACAGGAUUAGAAACCCCCGUAGUCC
This 292-nucleotide ribosomal RNA is filed under the name uncultured bacterium. RNAcentral describes it as "partial 16S ribosomal RNA". It matches the Rfam family "Bacterial small subunit ribosomal RNA", at positions 505 to 796 of the family's 1533-position model. The record is from RNAcentral.